UACGUAGGCAGCGAGCGUCGUUCGGAAUUACUGGGCGUAAAGAGUGUGUAGGCGGUGAUCUAAGUUCGGUGUGAAAUCUCCCGGCUUAACUGGGAGGGUGCGCCGGAAACUGGAUUGCUUGAGCGUGGGAGAGGAAAGCGGAAUUCCUGGUGUAGCGGUGAAAUGCGUAGAUAUCAGGAGGAACACCGGUGGUGUAGGCGGCUUUCUGGACCAAAGCUGACGCUGAGACACGAAAGCGUGGGUAGCAAACAGG
Molecule: ribosomal RNA, 253 nt
Filed under: uncultured bacterium
Lineage: Bacteria
Description: partial 16S ribosomal RNA
Rfam family: Bacterial small subunit ribosomal RNA
Source: RNAcentral